RNAcentral lists this ribosomal RNA (584 nucleotides) under uncultured bacterium. RNAcentral's name for it is "partial 16S ribosomal RNA". It matches the Rfam family "Bacterial small subunit ribosomal RNA", at positions 355 to 1375 of the family's 1533-position model. The record is from RNAcentral.
UGGGGAAUUUUGGACAAUGGGCGAAAGCCUGAUCCAGCAAUGCCGCGUGUGUGAAGAAGGCCUUCGGGUUGUAAAGCACUUUUGUCCGGAAAGAAAUCCUUGGCUCUAAUACAGUCGGGGGAUGACGGUACCGGAAGAAUAAGCACCGGCUAACUACGUGCCAGCAGCCGCGGUAAUACGUAGGGUGCAAGCGUUAAUCGGAGUUACUGGGCGUAAAGCGUGCGCAGGCGGUUUGCUAAGACCGAUGUGAAAUCCCCGGGCUCAACCUGGGAACUGCAUUGGUGACUGGCAGGCUAGAGUAUGGCAGAGGGGGGUAGAAUUCCACGUGUAGCAGUGAAAUGCGUAGAGAUGUGGAGGAAUACCGAUGGCGAAGGCAGCCCCCUGGGCCAAUACUGACGCUCAUGCACGAAAGCGUGGGGAGCAAACAGGAUUAGAUACCCUGGUAGUCCACGCCCUAAACGAUGUCAACUAGUUGUUGGGGAUUCAUUUCCUUAGUAACGUAGCUAACGCGUGAAGUUGACCGCCUGGGGAGUACGGUCGCAAGAUUAAAACUUAAUGAAUUGACGGGGUCAUAGCUGUUUCCU